This 807-nucleotide ribosomal RNA is filed under the name uncultured Streptococcaceae bacterium. RNAcentral describes it as "bacterial SSU rRNA". It matches the Rfam family "Bacterial small subunit ribosomal RNA", at positions 57 to 839 of the family's 1533-position model. Lineage: Bacteria; Bacillati; Bacillota; Bacilli; Lactobacillales; Streptococcaceae. The record is from RNAcentral.
GCAAGUAGAACGCCCAGGAUGCCCCGUAGUUACUACACCGUAUUCUGUGAGUUGCGAACGGGUGAGUAACGCGUAGGUAACCUGCCUGGUAGCGGGGGAUAACUAUUGGAAACGAUAGCUAAUACCGCAUAAGAACAUUUACUGCAUGGUAGAUGUUUAAAAGGUGCAAAAGCAUCACUACCAGAUGGACCUGCGUUGUAUUAGCUAGUUGGUGAGGUAACGGCUCACCAAGGCAACGAUACAUAGCCGACCUGAGAGGGUGAUCGGCCACACUGGGACUGAGACACGGCCCAGACUCCUACGGGAGGCAGCAGUAGGGAAUCUUCGGCAAUGGGGGGAACCCUGACCGAGCAACGCCGCGUGAGUGAAGAAGGUUUUCGGAUCGUAAAGCUCUGUUGUUAAGGAAGAACGUGUGUGAGAGUGGAAAGUUCACACAGUGACGGUACUUAACCAGAAAGGGACGGCUAACUACGUGCCAGCAGCCGCGGUAAUACGUAGGUCCCGAGCGUUGUCCGGAUUUAUUGGGCGUAAAGCGAGCGCAGGCGGUUAGAUAAGUCUGAAGUGAAAGGCAGUGGCUCAACCAUUGUAGGCUUUGGAAACUGUUUAACUUGAGUGCAGAAGGGGAGAGUGGAAUUCCAUGUGUAGCGGUGAAAUGCGUAGAUAUAUGGAGGAACACCGGUGGCGAAAGCGGCUCUCUGGUCUGUAACUGACGCUGAGGCUCGAAAGCGUGGGGAGCGAACAGGAUUAGAUACCCUGGUAGUCCACGCCGUAAACGAUGAGUGCUAGGUGUUAGGUCCUUUCCGGGAC